RNAcentral lists this ribosomal RNA (237 nucleotides) under uncultured bacterium. RNAcentral's name for it is "partial 16S ribosomal RNA". It matches the Rfam family "Bacterial small subunit ribosomal RNA", at positions 524 to 760 of the family's 1533-position model. The record is from RNAcentral.
UACGUAGGGUGCAAGCGUUAAUCGGAAUUACUGGGCGUAAAGCGUGCGCAGGCGGUUAUGUAAGACAGAUGUGAAAUGCCCGGGCUUAACCUGGGAACUGCAUUUGUGACUGCAUGGCUAGAAUCUGGCAGAGGGGGGUAGAAUUCCACGUGUAGCAGUGAAAUGCGUAGAUAUGUGGAGGAAUACCGAUGGCGAAGGCAGCCCCCUGGGUUGACACUGACGCUCAGGCACGAAAGC